RNAcentral lists this ribosomal RNA (253 nucleotides) under uncultured bacterium. RNAcentral's name for it is "partial 16S ribosomal RNA". It matches the Rfam family "Bacterial small subunit ribosomal RNA", at positions 524 to 776 of the family's 1533-position model. The record is from RNAcentral.
UACGUAGGGUGCAGGCGUUAAUCGGAAUUACUGGGCGUAAAGCGUGCGCAGGCGGUUUGCUAAGACAGGUGUGAAAUCCCCGGGCUUAACCUGGGAACUGCGCUUGUUACUGGCAAGCUGGAGUGUGGCAGAGGGGGGUGGAAUUCCACGUGUAGCAGUGAAAUGCGUAGAGAUGUGGGGGAACACCGAUGGCGAAGGCAGCCCCCUGGGCUAACACUGACGCUCAUGCACGAAAGCGUGGGGAGCAAACAGG